Long non-coding RNA from Drosophila yakuba, 1208 nucleotides. RefSeq lists it as uncharacterized. The record is from RefSeq and is a predicted model, not a curated record. NCBI's taxonomy places the organism in Eukaryota, Metazoa, Arthropoda, Insecta, Diptera, Drosophilidae. The transcript is spliced from 2 exons.
AAAUAUAGCCCAAUUUUAUGGGACUAAAUAAAAUAGUUACCAUAAGCCUUAAGAUAAAACAAUAUUUAUAUCUGCCUUACAAAAAGCCAACCCGAUUAAACAAUGGCAUAUGCACAGUGUCUUUUUUGUCUCAAAAUAACGGAAAACGCAAACCAGCCAGCUUAAAUUCAAAAGAACAUUGUUGGCAGUUGCCUAGCAUUGUGGCCACUGUUGUGUAGUUCAUUUUUGUGCAGUGAAGUUGACCAUCAAAGGGUAGGAAAUCCGACGUUCCUGCAAUGGAAAUUGUUUUUUUUUGGUGGCACAGGCUGGGUGAGCAAGGAUAACAACACGAUUGAAAUUCCUUGUUAAUUGUAAGGGGCAAUGGCCGCUGAUGGCGUGGGCGCAGCUCUAUUAUCUUGGUAGGAAAACACGAAACAGAGACUGCGGCGUGCACAUUAUCCUUGUACUUGAACGACUGCAGCUGAGUGCACGUAAUGGAAUCCAAAGGAUGGGGGAUCAUUUGGCUGAACUUCGUCGUCUGCAGCCUUGAUUGGAUGUCCCUAACGUUGAUUUUAUGAACCAUUAUUACACUGUAUAACUAGUGGCGUAGUGUACAGAAAAAUAUGUAUGUUAAAAUUAAAGCCUUUCAAAACACAUAAAGGCAUUAAUUUGGAAGAAAACAAAAGUUAAACGGAAAGCUGUCAAAGUUUUACCGAAAGUGGGUGCUGAAGAGCAGACCGCAUAUACACUAAAGGUUCAUUAGACUGAAUAUUUUGUGCGUGUGUACGGCUUUAACUUUUAGCUGAAAAGAUAGCAAUAAUAGUAAUAACGCCCAGCAAGCCUUAAAGCUUUCCCGCUAGCGUCUAUUAUGUAAGCCUCAGGAUUUUCCCAAGGACACGCCGCAGGACAGGCCAAAAUAGUAAAUCACACAGCGCCUCCAUCUCUUUUGCUACCAUUCAUCAGACAGAAUGAAAGUCAUGGGAAACAGAAUACAACAAAAAUACAAUCUUAUAACACAUACCACGUUUGCAAUGGCCAUGGACGUAGUACAAAGGACACAGUAACACAGCAGUCAGCAAGUCUGGAUACAACUUUCGAAACUAAUAUACCCUUCAAGUAACUAAUGAUGUUGGCUGAAUAAUACAAUUGUUAUAAUAUUCAAAAAAUAUUGUAUAUCGUAUUUCAAUCGAAAUAAUUCCGAAACUAAAACACUUUAUGAUCAAAAACAA